Monomorium pharaonis (pharaoh ant) is the source of this 3621-nucleotide long non-coding RNA. RefSeq lists it as uncharacterized. The record is from RefSeq and is a predicted model, not a curated record. The transcript is spliced from 2 exons. Lineage: Eukaryota; Metazoa; Arthropoda; Insecta; Hymenoptera; Formicidae.
CCAUAUUGUCUGCACCGUGAUGUUUUCGUCGACUAUCGGGACCGUUAGCAAUACAGAAGUAUUACAUGUAUGGUAAUUAAUUAAGGCUAUUAUGUGUCCAAAUAAUAGUCAGUUUUACAUCUGGUUCAAACAUUCUAAGGAUGUACUUGCCCUUGGGACAAAUAUAGAACAUCCUAAGUACGUCCAUCGGAUGUCCUCCGGUUUCUAUCUGACAUCCAAAUUACGUCCUAAUUAUGUCUGCGUGUUGUGUGAGUAUUGGACGAAUAACUCCGUUCCUCCCCCUCACCUCUAUCCCUACUACCAGGACAAGGAGUACAUAAAGACGGUUACACAAUUCAGGAGAGCUCAGUAUCGCCCCUAGCCCUGAUGAUGCAAACUGUAACGUUUGCGAAACGUCUGCGCAACGCUGUACUAGGACGCAUGUAUCCGGAAGCCCUUUUUAUUGGAAGCAAUGUCAAUGGUCGUAAAAGCUUUAAGUCUAAAAUAUUCUUCCACAUAUUAUCAAUUCCUAAGUUAGCCAAAAAAAAUUUUAUCCGCGUCAUUAAAUACAACAGGCAACAUUCUCCAUUUAUAAGCUAAAGCCUAAUAUCGAAAAUUUUAAUAUAUUUUGCUAUAUUUUUCAAGUCUGGAAAGAUACGUCUACUUUCCUUGCGUAAAGCAAUUCUUGAAUUUAGAAAUCUAAGUUCGCGAAAGAACUUAUUAUUAUAAGGCAAUCGUUGUAUCAUUUCUUGUAACACGAUUGUGUAAAAAGAUAAACAUUUGAAGUUUAUUUCUAUAACAAAUUCGGAUGAUUCUAAUUCCAAUAAAGUUUCGCAAUCUGAACCGAGAUAUAUUGAAGUUGAUGGUAAAACAUUUUGUGGGUUAAUAUCCAUUAAAAUAUUUUUUAAUGCGUUAGAUUGUAAGAAAUUAUAUCUAAUCUGCUUUAUUACAUGUUCACUACUCUCAGCUAAUUUAUGAAUUAAAAUUUUUUGAUCUUGAAAUGCUUUAAACUCAUUGCAUUGAAAGAAUACAUAUUUUAAAAAUAACAAAUAUGCUUUAAUUUUAUUAUCAUUUAAAGUAUUAAAAUUGUAAAAGCCGAAUUAUUUUUGUUUUCUAUCGUUUCUAGGAGGAAGUAAUGUUUCAAGACUUCCCAAUUGUCGAGAAGUCUAGUAACACAUUUCUGUAACGCAAGCCACCUUGAUAAUUUUAAGAGUUUACGUUUUUCUACUCCAAAAAAGUUUUAAAAUUUACACAGGAUAGCCGAUCUUUUUGCACUGCCAAAGAAAUAUGUUGCAAUAGCAUGUAAAAAAAUUUCACGAGAAUUCGGCAAUUUUGCACAAGUUUUGCUCGCAAUAAGAGCUGAAAAAUGGCAUAUACAUUUCAAUACAACGAGGGCCGGUACCUCUUUUUUCAAUCUACUAAUGAAAGAAUCUUGAACGCCUAUCAUUAUGGAAGCAUUAUCGCAAACUAUUUCUAUAAUACUUGAUAACGGUAUACCUUUCUUUUCUAAACAUUUUUUAAAUGCAAAAUAUAAUUUAUCCGUGGAACAAUUUAUAGCAUUCAAUGGUACUAAUUCUAAUAAUUGAAUUAGGCAUUUUUCAUUUUCCAACGAUACGUACUUUACUAAAAUACAAAGCAACUUAUCAUUAGUGAUACUGAUGUUAUCUAUUAAAACUGUGACGUGACGUUUUUUGUCCGUCACAAGGGCCGGAAUGGCCCGGCCGGGAAAGAUCAUUUAGGGCCGCGCCUUACCUCAAGGGGGGCGACGGCCUCUUCCUUUACCGGCUAAUUUAAUUUAGAAUUUAGAUCUUAACAGCGAGCGGGUGGAGUGGUGUGCCAAGAUGACCAUUUUGUAAUUUACGUAACAGCCGUCGAAGGAUUAUCGAGGGGAAGCCUAGACGACCGAGCGGCGGGGCCCCGGACAACCGAAGGACCGUAAAUCAGAAAAGGAGAGAAAGGAGCAGCAACUAGGUGCAGCCAGAGACGACGCCGGGGAAAUAGCAUGCGCCUUUACGCCCGUCCGCCAGGGUGGAGGAAACCCCAGCAGGAGCGGUCGUCACGGCCUCGAGGAAUAAGCCGGACGGGGCCUGAUCACCCCGAGCCGCGUCAAGACCAGAGGCGCCUUCGGACGCUGAGAUCCUGCAGGACGAGCAGGCGCCCCUAUCGACUAGCUAUCGAAGCGCAAUCGAUGCACAAGCCGCUACCGGCGUCCGCGGCGCCCCCGACCGCUCACGGUUCGUCACUGUUCGGCAAGUCGACUAAGGGUGCGGACUAACGGCCACUAGCGACGUCCUCGAUAAUUGUAAGGCCACCACUUCGACGCGGUAAGGAAGAUGACACGGUCCCCCGCGGUUCGCGAGAUAGUAAAGAUUUGUCAAGCGCCGUAAAGAAAUACCGCGGCAAGUAGAUUCACGAUACCGAGUAUACCCGGGGCACGGUAUUCCACGUGUGGAAUUUCGUCUUAGAGAUAAGCGCCCAUUUCUUGUAAUUCUCCCCUCGAAAGCCGCCGAGCCGACAGUCGUGUUGUAAUUAUAUUAAUUGUAAUCUGCGGGACGUCGGGACGACGCGAUAGAGUGAGACUUCCGGGAUUUGUAUCCCGAGAUUAAGCAUAUCGAGAGCCCCGAGCGGCGGGCAUAUUGCCGAGACACGAGAAAUCCGCCUCUCGGACGAAGAUAUCGAGUACCCGGGGACGAUGUCGUCGUACCGAGGCGUAGUGACCGCCUCACGGAUAUUCGCGUAAGGCCCGCGACGGGCAGGGCUAUAUCUUGGCGUAGAUAUUUAAGCUUUUAUAUAAAGUGAUAUAUAAAGUCGCGAGUAGAAUCACGAGCAAGAUGCGUGCGUGUCCCGAGCGUCGACGAGAAUCGCGUUAACCGUUCGCGUAAUGCAGAGACUUUUCGUUAUUUGUGUUUGUUCUAAUUUCGUGAUCGUUAUCGUAUUGUUAUCGUGUAAAAUGAUUAUUAAGCGUGUUGUAAAUUCGGAUGUGUUUGCUGUAGAUGUAUCGAACCUUAAUCGCAUCUCUGAUUCGUUGAGAGAACCAUCGAGCAAUCGAUUAUAGUUAUAUCCUUCAUUGUUACCAUUUAUCUUAUUAAUAUAUGAUCUGUUAUAUUAUUAUCAAAUGAGUCGUCAGUGAUUGUAGACCUCCUCUUCCACUCUCCAAGAAAGAACAUCUUGCUAUAAGAAUUUCGUCUUUCUACCAUUUUGUGUAGGAGCGGGUUACCGGGUAAUUAGCCGUCGUGAUUGACUAUUUUGUGAAUUUUGUGCGCCGCGAUUCUUCGCGCCUGGCGCCCAGCAAUUGAGAUAAUUAAAGUGAAAUAAAGUGAGAUCGCGACGAAGUUGCAGACGAGUCGAAAGAAACACCGUCGCAAAAUAGAAAAUUUUUUAUUUUUUAAAUUGUUUAGCUUUUUAUUUUCACGUUUUUCUGAAACAUUUUUUAUAAUCUGUGCACAUUUUUUUCUUGACAGUUUUAGAUCAUUAAGCACCUGUGGAUCAGAGCAAGUUUCUCUUAAGAAAGGGAUCAUGUAAUCUACAAUUUGAAAAGUUAUAUUAUGUUCAGCAAUUAGACCAGAUAAUUUUAUUUCGGCUAUUUUAAAUUUUUUAACAUGGUUCUCAUUAUAAAGCUUUGUUAAUAAAGCAGAUGGUAUG